Molecule: unclassified non-coding RNA, 237 nt
Filed under: Hevea brasiliensis (rubber tree)
Lineage: Eukaryota; Viridiplantae; Streptophyta; Magnoliopsida; Malpighiales; Euphorbiaceae
Source: RNAcentral
AAAGCUUUCUAAGAAAAAAUCUCUCUUAUCCGAUGUGCUUUUGUUGUUCAGAGGGCAUAACAGAGUAGUCCUUCCCAUAUGUGAAUCAUUGCAACAUAUCUAAUGCUAUAAGUAUAUCUAAAUUUACAGAAGCAUCUCUUUCUCAUAUCUUGUCUACCUAGCCUACCAACUGAGCUGGAUCAGUUGCGAAAACAGGCAAUUACUCAAUUGUUAUUCUUUGAAAAUUUUAUCUUUUUU